Molecule: ribosomal RNA, 442 nt
Filed under: Bacillus subtilis
Lineage: Bacteria; Bacillati; Bacillota; Bacilli; Caryophanales; Bacillaceae
Description: bacterial SSU rRNA
Rfam family: Bacterial small subunit ribosomal RNA
Source: RNAcentral
GACGAACGCGGCGGCGUGCCUAAUACAUGCAAGUCGAGCGGACAGAUGGGAGCUUGCUCCCUGAUGUUAGCGGCGGACGGGUGAGUAACACGUGGGUAACCUGCCUGUAAGACUGGGAUAACUCCGGGAAACCGGGGCUAAUACCGGAUGGUUGUUUGAACCGCAUGGUUCAAACAUAAAAGGUGGCUUCGGCUACCACUUACAGAUGGACCCGCGGCGCAUUAGCUAGUUGGUGAGGUAAUGGCUCACCAAGGCAACGAUGCGUAGCCGACCUGAGAGGGUGAUCGGCCACACUGGGACUGAGACACGGCCCAGACUCCUACGGGAGGCAGCAGUAGGGAAUCUUCCGCAAUGGACGAAAGUCUGACGGAGCAACGCCGCGUGAGUGAUGAAGGUUUUCGGAUCGUAAAGCUCUGUUGUUAGGGAAGAACAAGUACCGUUC